This 3836-nucleotide unclassified non-coding RNA is filed under the name Hevea brasiliensis (rubber tree). The record is from RNAcentral. Lineage: Eukaryota; Viridiplantae; Streptophyta; Magnoliopsida; Malpighiales; Euphorbiaceae.
GACUCCUUUUCUGCUUCGUCCUCAGCAGUUUCACUAUGCCUCUAUGAACAAGGGAGGCUGUCUGCUUCCUCACUCAAUGUGUGGAGGGUUGUAGAUAUUUUUAGUUGAAUUUUGGGCAGGCAAGCGUUAAUUUUGGGGGACUAUUUGUGGCUAUUUUGUGUGAGAUUAUGAUCUGCUCAGUGUUUCCUCUGUUUGCUUGUGUUUGUGUGAUGUCUUUUGUAGGUUCUAUCAUGGUUGCGGUUCUCACCAGAGAUGGUUUAGGUCUUGUACUUUUGCACUUCUUCAGCCAUGUUCCUUGUGGAAGAUAAUUGAGCUCCAAUGGAUCUAUAUGAGAUAACGGUGUGAGAGAGCAGUGGCCGGUGGAGAUUUCUCGAGGGGUUAACACCAAUAGGUAUGGCGACUUAAAAGGCACGAUUCGAACGCCAAAGAGAGCCUUCAUAUCCUCCCUUCGUUGACCGUAAUGGCUUCUAUAAUCUUCAGCUUAGUAGUUCAUCGAACCCUUUGUUUUUCCAAAUCUUCCUCGAGUAAAUAAAUUUGGCUCUUAGUCGAAGGUUAUGUUUACUGCUCAUUUUAGUUUGCCUGUUGUUGUUCGUUGAGACAAGCAGAGACCGACGGUGCUCUCCCCGGUCAGAUGCGAUGCUGUUUCUCACUGACAGUUCUCCUCCUAUGUUAUACGGCACCAUGCUUCUUGCCGGUCGAAUUGUGCUUUCUACCUUCAAUCUGCCUUUUAAAGGCCUUUAAUGAAUUUUAUCUUAAAAAGAAAAAUCACGGGAUAGCAAAUAAACAAACAUACGGGCAUUCAUUAGUAAAGUUCAUGCGUUCCGUGAGUCGUAAGCAUCAUUUCAAAUUUUCAAUUAUAGAUUGCUACUGUCAAUCAUGAUCUUCGAAGUUCAAACUACGCAAUGAAUAUAAAGAUAAAAUUUACAUCAGAUCACUCUUCUUUCUGCUUAAAUCCUUUUUUUUUUUUUAAAUCUUCUUAGAAUUGAUAUAAAAAUUUAAUCACACUAAUUAUAUGUGGAAUGGAAAUUGGGCAAUUUUCCUUGAAUAAUCUUCGUUUAAUUCCUACUUUUUGCAUACAAUUAUAUUCUGAAACUACAAAAGAGGAAUUAGAUACAUAUAAUGAUAUUUACUUUGGAUUUAGAGAAUGGUGAUCUAACUGUAGAUAUCAAUAAGCACGGAUAUGCUACCGCUCCUCUGAGUUGAAUUUAUUCCAAGCUUCCUGCAAAUCAACCACCAAUCAAAUAAUAAGAAAAACUAUUUUACAUGCGCGCACACACACAUAUAUAUACCAAGUGAUCAAACCAUUCCUGCUUUAUGCCACAACAAAAUUAUGCUUUAGAAGGUAGACUUCAUGUCCAACUCAAAAGUGUAAAUUCUAGAGAUGACAGAUGGCUAUUUAAUCAUGGUAAGUGGAACGAGCAAGAAGUAUAUCUUGCCCUAAACGGGGCAAGAAUUUGUUGCCUCUAAUCCUAAAAUAAGGGUGGGAUGAAUCAUGCAGAGGACUCCCUAUAGCUGCAUGAGAUGGAAAGGAUUAUGAAUAAAAAUUGUCUAAAAUGCACCAAAUCUUUGUUGCAUAUGGUGGAAAAGGUGAGGACAAAUGGGAGACUUUCCUAUGAAGACUUUUCCCUUGCUAUGAAUGUUGCUUCUCAAAAGGCACAUACUAUCCAAAGGAUAUUUGUCACCCGUUUUCAUGCAAGACCACUUUGUCUAAGAAAAUUACUCAUAACUCAAGUUGAAAGGAACUGGUAAUGCCAAUAACACACCUUCAGAAGAUCAAAGACCUUCUCACAGAUGUACUUCUGCUGAAUACUUGCACCACGUUGUUGUAAUUUGUCAGGAUGAACACAAAGAGUGGCUUUUCUGUAAGCUUUCUUCACCGCAGCUGCAGUUAUAACUUCUGUCAGUGGAAUUGACUGCCAACCACUAUCAGGCCCAAGUAUCUGCCAAUAAAAGAAUAAGUUUGAGUAACAAGGCAUUCACAAUUAUGAAAAAUGAAAUCUAGAUGCAGAUAUUUAGACAUUUAUAUUUCUAGCAGAACCUAAAUAACAGUAAAAAGGUGAUCAGGGAAAUUUUGUAACCUAGAAAAUGGCAAAUCAGCCAAAAAGAUGGAAAUUCAAUGUUCUAUAUAAUUUAAAUCAUGAAUCAAACAACCCCUCAGUACAUACUUAGCACACAGACAUGCAUUCAACUAUCACAGCUAUCAUUGCACCUUCACAAGCCAUUCCUGAUCCAGAGACCUUGACAUCACAAGAACCACAAAUUUUUGCAAUUUUAAUUGAUAUGUUCAAAUUACAUGUUCAAAUUUUAUCCAAGAGCAGGAUAUAGCAAUAUAAGCUUUAUUUUAUAUUUUUUAACAUGCAUUUACAUUUUUCUAGUUGCAACUUGCACCUGGAAAGACAAACAAUAUUCAUGCCAAAAAUAGGCAAGGAAACUGAAACAUACAUAUUGCAAGGUUGAAAGCAAUGCUCGCAAAUUUCCUUCUUUCCCACUUGACCACCUCUUGACAUCAGCAUCCAGAGUUUCUGCUAAUCUCUACAAACAAAAUUUAACUCAAGACGUUAAGUGAAAAAAAUUAUUUAAAAUGGAGGAGUUUGGGAAAUUUCUUUGCCAAAUUAAUUACAUUUCUCUCUGCUUGUUCUCUUUGAGCAAAAAGAUCACGCAUGUUUUUCUCCGCCAAGGCUUUUGCCUGCAAUAAAGCCAAAGGUUAGGGUUAGUUCCCCUGAUAUUAAAAACAAUGUUGGUCAUUCUGUUAAGGCAUGAAAAACCAUACCGCACGUUCAGCUGUUCUUUGAUGUCUCUCUAAUCUAGCCUUAUACCUCAGAGCUGACUCACCUUCUACUCCUUCGAAUCUUUCUGUUUAGUAGAAAACUUCUUUUUGAGGGAUACAUGUUUUAGCAGCAAUAUGGGCAAAAAAAAGCAACUAAUAUUUGUAGAAAGUAUAAGAAAAAUCAAGAAAAAAAAUUGUCCAAAAAAGAUGACGAUGGUUCUUAAAAAAUACACACCACCAUAAACGGAGGAAUAUUGAUAUCUUGAACCACUAAAUGAGCAUGAGCCUUGGGAUUGAAGAUCUUGUAGAUCAGAGGAUGAAGAGCUUGCUCUCAUUCCACUAGUCCUGGAAGAAGCAGAUAAUUUAUCUAACACAGAUCUCUCUACUUGUUCUCCUGCCUCAGAAGAAGCCCUUUCAGCCAUUGCUUUUUCAAAAGCACGCUCUCGGGCCUCUGCAGUUGCUCUCUCUACUGCAGCACGUUCUGCCCUGAGCCUGGCCUCCAUAGAUGCCUUAUCAGGUAAGGACUUUUCCCUAGCCUCUGCACAUACCUUCUCUAAUCUUUCGCAGGCCUCAUUUAGUGCUCUUUGUCGAGCUUCAGCAGUUGCUCUUUCCACAGCAGCCCAUUCUGCCCUCUCGCGAGCUUCAGCAUAUGCCCUUUCACGAGUAUCAAGUGCUGCUCUGUCAACAGCCAUUCUAUCCUUCUCUCUUUCCCUUUCCCUCUCCCUCUCUUCUUCCAACUUUCUAAGGCGUUCCAUUUCCAGCUCUCUUUCUCUCUUCAUUCUUUCUGCUUCUUUGUCUUCUGAUGAAACAGUCUCAUGAGAAUUCUUCACUUUUCUUUCAGUGCUCUGAGUUGUAUUAACCCGCUGAGCUGUCCUUUGAAUGCUUUCUUUCACUUCGAAUACAGCUGGCUGAGCUCCUCCCAUUUUCCUUGCACUAUCAACUGAUUCUUUCACUGUUUUAGCUGACAUGAAACUGGCAUUGCUGAUUUCCGGAUUUAGGGAAACUUGGGUUUGCUCAAUAUUCUUUCCUUUCUCACUCUUUUCAUAAGGAAAUUUCUUCCCUUGAUUUC